RNAcentral lists this ribosomal RNA (254 nucleotides) under uncultured bacterium. Its description in RNAcentral is "partial 16S ribosomal RNA". It matches the Rfam family "Bacterial small subunit ribosomal RNA", at positions 524 to 776 of the family's 1533-position model. The record is from RNAcentral.
GACAGAGGUGCCGAGCGUUAGGCGGAAUCACUGGGCUUAAAGCGUGUGUAGGCGGGUCCGUAAGUACCUUGUGAAAUCCCAUGGCUCAACCAUGGAACUGCUUGGUAUACUGCGGAUCUUGAGCCACCUAGGGGCAAGUGGAACAAACGGUGGAGCGGUGAAAUGCGUAGAUAUCGUUUGGAACGCCAAUGGUGAAAACAACUUGCUGGGGGUGUGCUGGACGCUGAGACACGAAAGCCAGGGGAGCAAACGGG